GCUCUUUGAAGUACAUGAGAUCAACGUAGAAUUUAAGCGGAUCACAACCCUGCCCCUGCAGUCUAGGUUUCCUUCACAGCUAGAUUUGCUGACAAACUCCUGAAGCUGUUCGAAAAGAGAGGAGGGCAGAUAGGCAAGAAUCUACGGAGCAUUUCGUCACAAAUGAGUCAAGCUGGGAAUGCAUUCUUAAGGGGCUUUGUGUUUACCUCAGCGAUGACCCAGCAAAUCUCAUGUG
Long non-coding RNA from Alosa sapidissima (American shad), 235 nucleotides. RefSeq lists it as uncharacterized. Lineage: Eukaryota; Metazoa; Chordata; Actinopteri; Clupeiformes; Clupeidae. The record is from RefSeq and is a predicted model, not a curated record. The transcript has 3 exons.